UACGAAGGGGGCUAGCGUUGCUCGGAAUCACUGGGCGUAAAGCGCACGUAGGCGGCUUGCUAAGUCAGGGGUGAAAUCCUGGAGCUCAACUCCAGAACUGCCCUUGAUACUGGCGGUCUCGAGUCCGGGAGAGGUGAGUGGAACUGCGAGUGUAGAGGUGAAAUUCGUAGAUAUUCGCAAGAACACCAGUGGCGAAGGCGGCUCACUGGCCCGGUACUGACGCUGAGGAGCGAAAGCCAGGGGAGCAAACGGG
RNAcentral lists this ribosomal RNA (253 nucleotides) under uncultured bacterium. RNAcentral describes it as "partial 16S ribosomal RNA". It matches the Rfam family "Bacterial small subunit ribosomal RNA", at positions 524 to 776 of the family's 1533-position model. The record is from RNAcentral.